Non-coding RNA from Ceratotherium simum simum (southern white rhinoceros), 536 nucleotides. The record is from RefSeq and is a predicted model, not a curated record. NCBI's taxonomy places the organism in Eukaryota, Metazoa, Chordata, Mammalia, Perissodactyla, Rhinocerotidae.
AGAAGCGAGGGGUCUGUCAUUCAGGAAGAUAUGGUAGGGAAGGGGCAUUUUGCUGCUUGGAAUUCUCACUACCCCUCUGAAGCAGUGCUGUUUUUGUCACUUGCACCGGUUCCUUUCUCUGGGAAAGAUCAAAACAAUGCACUCCAGAGGUUGACAUAGACCAAAAACUGGGUUUCAUGUGAAGGAGUUUAUUCCUUCCCUUUGAGAUGUGAAGGAAUGUAUUGAGAAUAAUUCUACCUUCCAUCCUCAAGGUCCUGUGUGAAUUCUCACAAAGGUGAUGAUAGAGCCUAGAAGGAAAGGGAAACUGUCUAUGCCUUUCCUUUAACUCUUCAGUGUCAAUGUCAGCUCCAGAGAAUGAGCUGAGAACUUACUUCUGAAUCAGUGGGUCUCCAUUCCUCCUGGUGGUCUUUUGGACCCUCUUGCAGAAGAUGACUUCGUGGGAACUCUUUUGGUAGUGAAUGAUACCAGUAAAUCCCUGAAACAAGACUUUUCAGACAAAGAGCCUUUUCGCUUACCUGUUGUCCAAGGGCCAUCCU